RNAcentral lists this long non-coding RNA (592 nucleotides) under Zostera marina. RNAcentral's name for it is "long non-coding RNA (ZMAR_LNC000723)". Lineage: Eukaryota; Viridiplantae; Streptophyta; Magnoliopsida; Alismatales; Zosteraceae. The record is from RNAcentral.
CGACGAGACUUAACCUCAAAACCCCAAGUGACUUUCCAAUUUCGCCGGAUAUGCCCUGCAAUUUAUUGUGGAUAAAAUUUCCUACCUAUAAUCUUGAUCAACAAUGUUCCUCCCCAUUUUUUUCUUACACGAGCUAGAACCUAAGCUCCCACGACCUCUAAAUUUUCACCAUCAUCACGAACCAUUGGGGGGGAAUAACCAAAAUCUAAUCCAAGGGUAUCUCUUUACCCCCAACAACAUCAGCAAAUGAUCAUGAUGUAGGAGCACUCCUACGAAUAAUCUCCUCCAUCCCACACCCACAAAUGAAUUCUUGAAAAACGUGAAGAAUUUAGCCACCAUAGCACAUGAACACUAGAGCACGAGAGAGCGAGAAAAACAAGGAUCACCACACACAGUCACCCAAUCACCACUUUCUAUAUUCCCAAUCUACGGGAAUUUUUGAAGAUCGUGAGGAUUUUCUUGGAACUCCAAGAAUUGCAAAAUGAGAAGAAGAAAAAAAAGAAAUGAAUUGCAUAUGUAGGUUUAUGACAAUGGUGACGUUAGACAAAGGUGUCAAAAUUUGUGGAAUUUUUAGAAAGUGAGGAAGUUCUCA